Molecule: ribosomal RNA, 467 nt
Filed under: uncultured bacterium
Lineage: Bacteria
Description: partial 16S ribosomal RNA
Rfam family: Bacterial small subunit ribosomal RNA
Source: RNAcentral
UCCAGACUCCUACGGGAGGCAGCAGUGAGGAAUAUUGGUCAAUGGACGCAAGUCUGAACCAGCCAAGUAGCGUGCAGGAUGACGGCCCUCCGGGUUGUAAACUGCUUUUAGUUGGGAAUAAAAGGGGGCUCGUGAGCCCCGUAUUGUAUGUACCAUCAGAAAAAGGACCGGCUAAUUCCGUGCCAGCAGCCGCAGUAAUACGUAGGUGGCAAGCGUUGUCCGGAUUUACUGGGUGUAAAGGGCGUGCAGCCGGGCCGACAAGUCAGAUGUGAAAUCCCGCGGCUCAACCGCGGAACUGCAUUUGAAACUGUCAGUCUUGAGUACCGGAGAGGUCAUCGGAAUUCCUUGUGUAGCGGUGAAAUGCGUAGAUAUAAGGAAGAACACCAGUGGCGAAGGCGGAUUACUGGACGGCAACUGACGCUGAGGCUCGAAAGCGUGGGGAGCAAACAGGAUUAGAUACCCCGGUA